GAUGAACGCUGGCGGCGUGCCUAAUACAUGCAAGUCGAGCGAACGGACGAGAAGCUUGCUUCUCUGAUGUUAGCGGCGGACGGGUGAGUAACACGUGGAUAACCUACCUAUAAGACUGGGAUAACUUCGGGAAACCGGAGCUAAUACCGGAUAAUAUUUUGAACCGCAUGGUUCAAAAGUGAAAGACGGUCUUGCUGUCACUUAUAGAUGGAUCCGCGCUGCAUUAGCUAGUUGGUAAGGUAACGGCUUACCAAGGCAACGAUGCAUAGCCGACCUGAGAGGGUGAUCGGCCACACUGGAACUGAGACACGGUCCAGACUCCUACGGGAGGCAGCAGUAGGGAAUCUUCCGCAAUGGGCGAAAGCCUGACGGAGCAACGCCGCGUGAGUGAUGAAGGUCUUCGGAUCGUAAAACUCUGUUAUUAGGGAAGAACAUAUGUGUAAGUAACUGUGCACAUCUUGACGGUACCUAAUCAGAAAGCCACGGCUAACUACGUGCCAGCAGCCGCGGUAAUACGUAGGUGGCAAGCGUUAUCCGGAAUUUAUGGGCGUAAAGCGCGCGUAGGCGGUUUUUUAAGUCUGAUGUGAAAGCCCACGGCUCAACCGUGGAGGGUCAUUGGAAACUGGAAAACUUGAGUGCAGAAGAGGAAAGUGGAAUUCCAUGUGUAGCGGUGAAAUGCGCAGAGAUAUGGAGGAAUACCAGUGGCGAAGGCGACUUUCUGGUCUGUAACUGACGCUGAUGUGCGAAAGCGUGGGGAUCAAACAGGAUUAGAUACCCUGGUAGUCCACGCCGUAAACGAUGAGUGCUAAGUGUUAGGGGGUUUCCGCCCCUUAGUGCUGCAGCUAACGCAUUAAGCACUCCGCCUGGGGAGUACGACCGCAAGGUUGAAACUCAAAGGAAUUGACGGGGACCCGCACAAGCGGUGGAGCAUGUGGUUUAAUUCGAAGCAACGCGAAGAACCUUACCAAAUCUUGACAUCCUUUGACAACUCUAGAGAUAGAGCCUUCCCCUUCGGGGGACAAAGUGACAGGUGGUGCAUGGUUGUCGUCAGCUCGUGUCGUGAGAUGUUGGGUUAAGUCCCGCAACGAGCGCAACCCUUAAGCUUAGUUGCCAUCAUUAAGUUGGGCACUCUAAGUUGACUGCCGGUGACAAACCGGAGGAAGGUGGGGAUGACGUCAAAUCAUCAUGCCCCUUAUGAUUUGGGCUACACACGUGCUACAAUGGACAAUACAAAGGGCAGCGAAACCGCGAGGUCAAGCAAAUCCCAUAAAGUUGUUCUCAGUUCGGAUUGUAGUCUGCAACUCGACUACAUGAAGCUGGAAUCGCUAGUAAUCGUAGAUCAGCAUGCUACGGUGAAUACGUUCCCGGGUCU
This 1372-nucleotide ribosomal RNA is filed under the name uncultured bacterium. Its description in RNAcentral is "bacterial SSU rRNA". It matches the Rfam family "Bacterial small subunit ribosomal RNA", at positions 28 to 1381 of the family's 1533-position model. The record is from RNAcentral.